AAUAGAUACCCCGGUAGUCCACGCCGUAAACGAUGUCGACUUGGAGGUUGUGCCCUUGAGGCGUGGCUUCCGGAGCUAACGCGUUAAGUCGACCGCCUGGGGAGUACGGCCGCAAGGUUAAAACUCAAAUGAAUUGACGGGGGGCCCGCACAAGCGGUGGAGCAUGUGGUUUAAUUCGAUGCAACGCGAAGAACCUUACCUACUCUUGACAUCCAGAGAACUUAGCAGAGAUGCUUUGGUGCCUUCGGGAACUCUGAGACAGGUGCUGCAUGGCUGUCGUCAGCUCGUGUUGUGAAAUGUUGGGUUAAGUCCCGCAACGAGCGCAACCCUUAUCCUUUGUUGCCAGCGGUUCGGCCGGGAACUCAAAGGAGACUGCCAGUGAUAAACUGGAGGAAGGUGGGGAUGACGUCAAGUCAUCAUGGCCCUUACGAGUAGGGCUACACACGUGCUACAAUGGCAUAUACAAAGAGAAGCGACCUCGCGAGAGCAAGCGGACCUCAUAAAGUAUGUCGUAGUCCGGA
This 521-nucleotide ribosomal RNA is filed under the name uncultured bacterium. RNAcentral's name for it is "bacterial SSU rRNA". It matches the Rfam family "Bacterial small subunit ribosomal RNA", at positions 777 to 1297 of the family's 1533-position model. The record is from RNAcentral.